CCCCUUCCCAUGCCGGUUGCCAGACCCUAUAUUGCCGGUGCCGGCCUCGUGUCGGCUAUGGCGAUAAACGGCCGAUGUAAUAAGCCAUUCGGACCCGGGGGCGGUACCCGGCGCCUCCACCAGAAGCCGCCGCAGGCCAUGCGGAACGAACCACGCGGUUCAGGGCGGUUG
RNAcentral lists this transfer-messenger RNA (171 nucleotides) under Rhizobiaceae bacterium. RNAcentral describes it as "partial transfer-messenger RNA". It matches the Rfam family "Alphaproteobacteria transfer-messenger RNA", at positions 1 to 145 of the family's 355-position model. From Rfam's summary of the family: Bacterial tmRNA, also known as 10Sa RNA or SsrA, is named for its dual tRNA and mRNA-like properties. The record is from RNAcentral. Lineage: Bacteria; Pseudomonadati; Pseudomonadota; Alphaproteobacteria; Hyphomicrobiales; Rhizobiaceae.